RNAcentral lists this long non-coding RNA (9102 nucleotides) under Lotus japonicus. Its description in RNAcentral is "long non-coding RNA (LJAP_LNC000966)". The record is from RNAcentral. Lineage: Eukaryota; Viridiplantae; Streptophyta; Magnoliopsida; Fabales; Fabaceae.
GAAGCUAGAGUGAGCACCACACUAGUCCCCAAGAACCAUGGAACUCCACCAUCUGAUAUUUGUUCAAACACUCCCUGCCCUCUGGCAACUUCCACUGCCAUUGCAGCUACAAACCCAAUCAUGGCCAAUCUUCCAUUGAUCCUCUCAGGUGCAGGCCCACCAAAUGCCAUCACAUCUGAAAACUUAGUGCUCACCUGCAAUUUUACCGUCACUAAUGUAAGUAAAAGUCUCAUAACCAUGGUGUAAUUAGCAUGACUAAAUGUAAAGAAAAUAGUGAACAGAGUCACAACUAUGUAAAUUAUACAAAUUAAAAUUUUCAAACACUUGGCUCACUCACCUUUGGUGCACGAGGUUUUGGUGGUGGUGCUGAUGGAGUAACUGGGCUUGCACUAGUAGCAGGUUCAAUAGGUUGCUUUUUUGGCUCUUCAGCCAUGGACCUAACUCUCAGGCUAGAGUUCCUUCUCUGGCUUGGCAUGUAGACAGAAGGAAUGGUGAACUGGUUCACCCUUGACCUGGUGGUCAUGCGGAUCAUAGGGUUAGCCAGGAUAGAUUGCAUAGCAGAAGUUGAGGAAGCCAUUGCUGAAUUGGAAGUGUUGAUUGAGUUAACACAAGAACUUGCUAUAUCAGAGAAUUUCUAGGAAGAGCUUAGUAAAGUUUAUAAGCUAUGCUUUUAAUGCUACACCUCCUAUGUUUGGUGAAUGCAUUGAAUAGAAUAAGGUAGUUUUUAUAGAAUUAAAGGCAAGCAUUGUGGUGGACAUAUUGGUUCCACGUCAAGUGUGUAUAGGCACAAAAGGUAAUUGGUUCACGUGGGUUCUCUUGUCCACACAUGGUAAAAGGAGGAGACGUGGUUCCCUUGAGGGCCAUAAGGGUGAGUGUGUGUUUGGAUUAGCGUUAGCAGAAUUGGAUCUGGCCAGAAUUGAAUCUGGAAGAAUUGGAUCUGGUAAACGUGAGUUUGAGUGACAUGAUUUAUGUUUGGAUACAUUUAUCAGGAAUUGGAUCUGAUAGACUUGAAUUGGAUCUGUAAAAGGGUGAGGGGACAAUUGGAUCAGCAUUGAUGCUGAAGCAACAAAUUGUUGUGUUAGGAUGGAUCCAAUUCUGGGGCCAGAAUUGGAUCAGCAUUUAGCAUCCAAACAUCAAUGGAGAUGGAAAAAUCACGUUUGAGGUCUUUAAACGUGGAUCAGGCCUGAUCCAACGUGCAUCCAAACACACCCUGAAUCAGGGGUUAAAAUGGUUGGUGUUGGACGUGGAACCUUUAGGACUUCAAUUAGUUUUAACUGCAAACCUAGUUCGGUCACUACAAGAACAAUAAUGUAUGUAUACACCUUGUUUUUUAUACACUUUAUUUCCACAUAUUUUUAUUUUUAUCUCUUAUAUUAUAAUAUAUCACAUCUCAUACUUUUUCUCUUUCUUACUUUUUCUUUUCGUCUUAUCUCUUUCUUCAUUUCACUUCUUUCCACUUCUAACAGAGGUGUGAAAGUAUCAUUAUUCCUACUAGAAGGCUUUUACUCUUACAAUUUGUUGGUCGUGCUUCAUUUCAUUCUGCUUAUGAACUGCAUGUGCUUGCUUAUUACCCGCCUUGGGUGAUCUUGACUAUUGACGCUCGAGAUGAUUAAGUCUAGGGAAAUUUUUCUAUUGUCUGUCGCAUGAUUGAUUAUAACUUUUGUUAAUUCUCUUCUACAUAUGGUUUUUCAUUCUGUGCAUGUCACUAAUGCAAAAAUUGUGUCACCUUCAGUGGAUUCACAUUCAACCCAGAAGCCAUAAACUUGUUUCCAGUUGAACUACAUCCAGAUGUAUGUACCCAAACAUUUUAUUUUGUGUCGGUGUAUAUGUAUGUGGAUGUUGUAAUCGACUUUGGUACCUACAUAGUGCAAUUUUUUAAAAAAUUAUCAAACUAGUGCAUAUAUUUUUUUAAUUACAUAACUGGGGUAAAUCACCAUUACAAGUGGCGAUACCCUUUUUUCUUUUAUUGAAAUCGCCACCGUCAGUCGCGACAUGGCCUUUUUUUCAAAAAAAAAAAUUACAUUAGUGACGGAAACAAAUCCGUCACAGAAUUCCAAUACAUACUCUAAAAGAAAUUAGUGACGGAAUGUGUUGAAAGAAGUAGUCCGUCGUAGCGACGGAAUAUACUUUGCGACGAAGUUCUUUCCGUCACAAAAUCUAAGUGAAUAUUGCAAAAUAAUUGGCGACGGAAUUUUGUCAGGAAAUGUUAGUUUGUGACGGAAUUCUCUCUCCACAUUGCGUCACAAAUUCUUUUUUAUACUAGUAUAUUGUGACGGAUGCGUUUCCGUCACUAAGAAAGAAAGUGAAAAAAAAAAAGAACAUGUCGCCACUGACCGUGACGAUUUCAAUAAAAAAAGUAAGAAAAAAAAUGGUAUAAACACUUUAAGUGGCGAUUUACAUAAGAUGUGUAAUUAAAAAAAAUUAUGCACUAGUUUAGUAAAAUUUUCUAAUAAGUACUCUAUACAUAUAAUAGUGUUAUUACGGGGAGUAGCUAACAACACUCAUUUUAACUCUCUUUUCAACACUUUUUUUUAUUAGUUGAAAUUCACGUGGAACAUAUUAAAUUGGUGGUGAGAGUUGAGACUCACAUUUUGAGUGUAACCCAAAUAAAUUUCAAUCAUUAUGUGUUAAAAAGAGAAGGUUGAUAGCAUAAACAAAAGUAGAAUAUUGAGUUAAUUAAUAUUUUAUUAUUUAACAUUGACUCAAUUUUAUGAACAACCACUCUCAGCAUCCCAAGUCAUAUGUGUAAACUUCUCUCUCAUGUGUAACCUUCUCUCUCAAGUGUUUGUGGAAAACAAGAAAAAAAGGACAUGUUGAGUGGAAACCAAAUAAAUUUCAAUCAUUAUGUGUUAAAAAGAGAGGGUCGAUAAUUAAACGGAAGCAGCAUAUUAAGUUAAUUAGUAUUUUAUGAUUUAACAUUGUCGACUCAAGUCAUACUCAAGUCAAUUUUAUGAACAACCAUUUGAGUUAAUUAGUAUUUUAUGAUUGAACAAUUAAAUAUUAAGUUAAUUAGUAUUUUAUGAUUUAACAUUGUCGACUCAAGUCAUACUCAAGUCAAUUUUAACCAUUUGAGUUAAUUAGUAUUUUAUGAUUGAACAAUUAACAUUGUCGACUCAAGUCAUACUCAAGUCAAUUUUAUGAACAACCCCUCCAAGCUUCCCAAGUCCAUAUGUGUAAACUUCUCUCCCAGCUGUAAUCUUCUCUCUCAAGUCUUUGGCAACCAAGAAAAAAAGGACAUGUUGAGCUUUCUCUCUGAUUAAGAGUGAAAGUUCCAUUCGAUAUCCUGAAAUGUAAUUUUAGUAUCUGCUAUUGCAAUUCUCAUCGAAUUUAUCAUUAUGAAGUGUGAACUAGUUUAAUGACAUUUCAGUGUUAUCCUGAAUGCAUUGUUAGAUAGAUAUUUGCUAUUACAAUGUUGAAGGUUAACUGCAGGUUUGCCAUGAGAUAAUUGCAAUUGCCGGAUAGUAAUUACCUGAUUCUCAUUAGCAAGAACCCCAUCAUAUUUUCCUGUUUAUCUCCAUGUUUGAAAUUUAAGUUAUUCAAUAAGGCAGAUUAACAAUACAUUGUUUGAUUUGUAUGGAUCCCAACAGUUAAUAAUAGCCUUCAACGAUUUUUGCUCUUAGUUUAGAAAUAGAUAACAAGAAAUCUGUUUAUGAAUAAGGUAUGAAAUUUCAUUAAUUCUAUGUGUAUUAAUAAACACACCAAGUUUCAUGCAUAACCUUCUAUAAAUCAAUCCUUAUAAUACAUUGUUCCUAAGCCUUUGAACUCUUACACCAGGAUUCCUCCCUUAACAUACUCUGUAAAGGCCAAGGCAAUCAAACCCAACAUAGCAAGCCUUCCAUUCCAGAGCUCUGCAUCAGAGGUCAUGACUCCUUUGGACUUUGACUCCACACUAACCCCUUGAAACAGUGGAACCAAUGAAGCUAGAGUGAGCACCACACUAGUUCCCAAGAACCAUGGAACUCCACCAUCUGAUAUUUGUUCAAACACUCCCUGCCCUCUGGCAACUUCCACUGCCAUUGCAGCUACAAACCCAAUCAUGGCCAAUCUUCCAUUGAUCCUCUCAGGUGCAGGCCCACCAAAUGCCAUCACAUCUGAAAACUUAGUGCUCACCUGCAAUUUUACCAUCACUCAUGUUAGUAAAGUCUCAUAUCCAAGGAUUAAUUAGCAUAUAUAACUAAUUAAAUGUAAAGAAAAUAGUGAACAGAGUCACAACUAUGUAAAUUAUAUUCUUCAAACACUUGGCUCACUCACCUUUGGUGCACGAGGUUUUGGUGGUGGUGGUGAUGGAGUAACUGGGCUAGCACUUUGCUCUUUUGGCUCUUCAGCCAUGGACCUAACUCUCAAGCUAGAGUUCCUUCUCAGGCUUGGCAUGUAGACAGAAGGAAUGGUGAACUGGUUCACCCUUGACCUGGUGGUCAUGCGGAUCAUAGGGUUAGCCAGGAUAGAUUGCAUAGCAGAAGUUGAGGAAGCCAUUGCUGAAUUGGAAGUGUUGGUUGAGAUAACACAAGAACUUGCUAUAUCAGAGAAUUUCAAGGAAGAGCUUAGUCAAGUUUACAAGCUAUGCUUUUAAUGCUACACCUCCUUUGUUUGAUGAUACAUUGAAUAGAAUAAGGUAGUUUAUAUAGAAUUAAAGGCAAGCAUUGUGGUGGACAUUUAGGUUCCACGUCAAGUGUGUAUAGGCCCAAAAGGUAAUUGGUUCACGUGGGUUCUCUUGUCCACACAUGGUAAAAGGAGGAGACGUGGUUCCCUUGAGGGCCAUAAGGGUGAAUCAGGGGUUAAAAUGGUUGGUGUUAGUUUUAACUGCAGACCUAGUUCGGUCACUACUAGAACGUUCUUUUGGUUUCUUGGUAUAUAAGGAGCAGUACUUGUCUUGUUUGUUUCUAUUAGGCUGAAUCUUGUUUUUCAGAUGUUUACUCAACUGCGCUUCACAUAUGAACAAGUGAGUCAUCCAGAUGAGUUUUUCAUCCCAUUUGUCUGGCAACUAGUAUUAUCUCGUUGGUAUGGUUCCACCUGGAGCUUCUUAUUCGUGUAGUCUCAUUACCCUUACAAUUUGUUUGCCGUGCUUCAUUUCAUUCUGCUUAUGAACUGCAUGUGCUUGCUUCUUACCAGCCUUGGAUGAGUGUAGAGAUCCAUCCCUCUAUAUGAAAAUGAGAUAUCCAUGUAAUGAAUAAGCUCUUGCGCUAGUAUAAGUAUCGAUGGAAUAUUGCGGGUUUUGUACCCGAGUAGUGUAGUUUAAUUGGGGUUGUCUAAAUGACCCAAGGUAAAAAUUGGGUUAAAUCAUCCUUUGAUGAGGUGUGUGAAUAAUAUUAUAUUAUGUGUUUUAUAAAUUCCAAGUCAUUUCACUAUUUCUUUCAUUUAUAUUUUCAUAAUAUUCAUUCUAUAAAAUAAUCUAUUUGCACAAUAAACAAAUUAAUUAUGAUAUAAUCACACAACUUUUUUUUCCAAACAAAAAUUGAGAACCCUAAUCCCCAAUUUCUUCCUUGCUUUCUUGGUCUGCUACUCUAAUUUGUUCUCCCAAGAAGCAAAGUUGCAUCACCGUCGUCGGCAAUCACCUUUCAUGCAUCUUCCUAAUUGCUUUUACUCUUAGCAUAGAGUUUAUGGCAUACAUUUCUUAAAGGGGGUGAUUAGGGAUUUAUUGAUUUCACAUCAAAAACCUAUGACAUUUGAAGAUAACUCGUGCAAUGGUAAUGAAAUAUGGUGCAGAAAUUAAUUUCUUUUUAUCAUUUGAAUGAAAACGUAAUUGACGAGGAAGAGUUUGCUUGUUUACUACAAUCAAUUGAUUACACAGAAGUUUCAUAUUUGAGAGAUUUUACUCAAAUGAUUUUGAUCAAAGCAUGGAAGAAAUUGGGAUUAGGGUUCUCAAUUUUUCUUUUUGAAAAAGGAGUUAUGUGUUAUUAUUACUAAUUGAUUGGUUUAUUAGUAUGCAAAUAAAUUAUUAUAUAAAAUGAAUAUUAUGAAAAUAUAAAUAAAAUAAAUACUGAAAUAAGUUAGAAUUUAUAAAAAUACAUGUUAUAAUAUUAUUGGCACACUUCAUCAAAGGGUGAUUUAACCCAAUUUUUACCUUGGGUCAUUUAGACAACCCCAGUUUAAUUUUGUAACAAAAUUACAGCUUUGUGUACUUUUUUAUUUAUUUACCAUUUUAGUAUAAAUCGCCACUGUUAGUGACAUUUUUUUUAUUUUUUAAAAAAUCGUCGAUGCUAUUGGUGUUUUAUUUUAUUUUUUCCUUUUUUUAUUAAAUUGCCAACCAUGUUGGCAUUUUUCUUAUUUUUAAUUUUUUUUAACAAUCCCCAACCAUGUUGGUGUUUUACUACUUUUUUUACAUUUUUUUUAAAUGGCCAACUUGUUGGCUUAUAUUUUUUUAAAAAACCAGCAAUUAAAAUGGUAUUUAAUCCAUUGAUACUCACAUACUUUUGUGCCAUUUCUCUUAAAUUAAAUUAUGUAAUGCGUAUUGUUUAUCUUUAAAUAUCGGUUCAAAUACUUAUGACCAUAGUACUGCAAAAGUGAGUUUUUUUAUAAGUAAAUGUUAGUUGUUAGUAAUGUUAGUAAAUUAGUCUCUCCUAGGGUUCGAACCAUGAAUCCUUCACCAUUCAUCUCACUCAACUCUCAUGUCUUAAACUUUUAUCACUUAAACUAACCAUCGGAGACACUAUAAAAGUGAAUAAGACACGGGUGAGUAUCAAUUGAUUAAAUACAAUUUUAGUUGUUUAUAUAUAUAUAUAUAUGACAUUUAAAAAAAACUGUAAAAAAAGUAAUAAAACGCCAACAUGUUUGGCGAUUGUUUAAAAAAAUAAGAAAAACACCAACCAUGUUGGCAAUUUAAUAAAAAAACUAAAAAGAAAAACUAAAAUGCCAAUAGCAUUAGCGAUUCUUUAAAAAAAUAAAAUAAAAUUGCCACUGACAAUGGCGAUUUAUACCAGAAUGGUAAAUAAAAAAAAGUACCUCAAAACUGUAAUUUUACUACAAAACUACACUACUUAGGUAAAAAACCCAAUAUCACGGCUUCUAUUUUUGUACUUAGUUAAAGGCUGUUGUUCCUCUAAAGUUUUAGUUGUUUCUACUACCCAGCUCGUUUUGUGUCAGCACCAUGUUUGACACUAUGUAUGUUAACAUUGGUCAAUUGUCAGUCAGCACUAUAUUAUUCAAUAGUGUUACUAUGAGAAGUGGCUAACAGCACUUAUUUUAACUCUUUUUUCAAUUCUUUCUUUUAGUGGUUGAAAUUCACAUGAAACAUACUAAAUUGGUGGUGAGACUCACAUUUUGAGUGAGAACCCAAAUAAAUUUCAAUCAUUGUGCUAAAAAGAGAGGGUCGAUAGCAUAAACAAAAGCAAAAUAUUGAGUUAAUUAAUAUUUUAUUAUUUAACAUUUUUGACUCAAGUUAAUUUUAUGGACAACCACUCCAAGCUUCCCAAGUCCAUAUGUGUCAACUUCUAUCUCAGUCUCAGGUGUAACCUUCUCUCUGAAGGGUUUGGCAACCAAGAAAAAAAAGGACAUGUUGAGUGAAACCCAAAUAAAUUUCAAUUAAUAUGUGUUAAAAAGAUAUGGUCGAUAGCAUGAACGGAAGCAGAAUAUUUAGUUAAUUAGUAUUUUAUGAUUUAAUAAUAUUGUUGACUCAAGUCAUAUUCAAGUCAAUUUUAUGAACAACCACUUGAGUUAAUUAGUAUUUUAUGAUUUAACAUUGUCGACACAAGUCAUACUCAAGUCAAUUUUAUGAACAACCCCUCCCAGCUUCCCAAAUUCAUGUGUGUAACCUUCUCUCUCAAGUGUUUGGCAACCAAGAAAAAAAGGACAUAUUGAGAGUAAUUCAAAUAAAUGUUAAUCAUUAUGUGUUAAAAAAAGUGGGUCGACAGCAUAAACAAAAGCAGAAUAUUGAGUUAAUUAGUAUUUUAUGAUUUAACAUUGCCAACUCAAGUCAUACUCAAGUCAAUUUUAUGAACAACCCCUCCAAGCUUCCCAAGUCCAUAUGUGUAAACUUAUCUCCCAGCUGUAAUCUUCUGUCUCAAGUGUUUGGCAACCAAGAAAGAAAGGACAUGUUGUGCUUUCUCUAUGAUUAAGAGUGAAAGUUCCAUUCGGUAUCCUGAAAUGUAAUUUAAGUAUCUGCUAUUGCAAUUGGCCAAUUGUCAUCGAAUCUAUCAUUAUGAAGUAUGAACUAGUUUAAUGACAUUUCAAUGUUAUCCUGAAUGCAUUGUUAGAUAGAUAUUAGCUAUUACAAUAGUUAAAGGUUUACUGCAGGUUACCCCACACAAAUGGUCUGAAUGUUUUAACCACAUUAAUUUUCUGUUUAUUAUAAUUGCAAUUGCCGGAUAGUAAUUACCUGAUUCUCAUUAGCAAGAACUUCAUCAUGUUUUCCAAUUUCCAACUUUUCUCCAUGUGUGCAGUUUAAGUUAUUCGAUUAAGGCAGGUUAACAAUACAUUGUUUGAUUUGUAUGGAUCACAACAGUUAAUAAUAGCCUUCAACGAUUUUUGCUCUUAGUUUAGAAGUGAUAACAAGAAAUCUGAUUAUGAUUAAGGUAUGAAAUUUCAUUAAUUCUAUAUGUGCAUUAAAAAACACACCAAGUUUCAUACAUCACCUACUAUAAAACAAUCCUUAUAAGACAUUGUUCCUAAGCCUUUGAACUCUUACACCAGGGUUCCUCCCUUAACAUACUCUGUAAAGGCCAAGGCAAUCAAACCCAACAUAGCAAGCCUUCCAUUCCAGAGUUCUGCAUCAGAGGUCAUGAGACCUUUGGAUUUUGACUCCACACUAACCCCUUGAAACAGUGGAACCAAAGAAGCAAGAGUGAACACCACACUUGUCCCCAAGAACCAUGGAACUCCACCAUCUGAUAUUUGUUCAAACACUCCCUGCCCUCUGGCAACUUCCACUGCCAUUGCAGCUACAAACCCAAUCAUGGCUAGUCUUCCAUUGAUCCUCUCAGGUGCAGGCCCACCAAAUGCCAUCACAUCAGAAAACUUAGUGCUCACCUGCAAAUUUACCAUCACUCAUGUCAGUAAAAGUCUCAUACUGUAGAUCCAUGGUGUAAUUAGCAUAACUUAUUAUAAAAAAAAAUAGUGAACACUUGGCUCACUCACCUUUGGUGCACGAGGUUUUGGUGGUGGUGGUGG